UACGUAGGGGGCUAGCGUUGUCCGGAAUCAUUGGGCGUAAAGCGCGUGUAGGCGGUUCGGUAAGUCCGCUGUGAAAGUCGAGGGCUCAACCCUCGAAAGCCGGUGGAUACUGUCGGGCUAGAGUGCGGAAGAGGCGAGUGGAAUUCCCGGUGUAGCGGUGAAAUGCGCAGAUAUCAGGAGGAACACCGAUGGCGAAGGCAGGUCUCUGGGCUGACACUGACGCUCAUGCACGAAAGCGUGGGGAGCAAACAGG
Molecule: ribosomal RNA, 253 nt
Filed under: uncultured bacterium
Lineage: Bacteria
Description: partial 16S ribosomal RNA
Rfam family: Bacterial small subunit ribosomal RNA
Source: RNAcentral